Molecule: ribosomal RNA, 484 nt
Filed under: uncultured bacterium
Lineage: Bacteria
Description: partial 16S ribosomal RNA
Rfam family: Bacterial small subunit ribosomal RNA
Source: RNAcentral
AUUGAACGCUGGCGGAAUGCUUUACACAUGCAAGUCGAACGGCAGCACGGGGGCAGCCCUGGUGGCGAGUGGCGAACGGGUGAGUAAUACAUCGGAACGUGCCCGGUCGUGGGGGAUAACGUAGCGAAAGUUACGCUAAUACCGCAUACGAUCUGAGGAUGAAAGCGGGGGACCUUCGGGCCUCGCGCGAUCGGAGCGGCCGAUGUCAGAUUAGGUAGUUGGUGGGGUAAAGGCCUACCAAGCCGACGAUCUGUAGCUGGUCUGAGAGGACGACCAGCCACACUGGGACUGAGACACGGCCCAGACUCCUACGGGAGGCAGCAGUGGGGAAUUUUGGACAAUGGACGCAAGCCUGAUCCAGCCAUUCCGCGUGCAGGACGAAGGCCUUCGGGUUGUAAACUGCUUUUGUACGGAACGAAAAGGCUCUGGCUAAUACCUGGGGCUCAUGACGGUACCGUAAGAAUAAGCACCGGCUAACUACGUG